This 496-nucleotide ribosomal RNA is filed under the name uncultured bacterium. RNAcentral's name for it is "partial 16S ribosomal RNA". It matches the Rfam family "Bacterial small subunit ribosomal RNA", at positions 29 to 507 of the family's 1533-position model. The record is from RNAcentral.
AUGAACGCUGGCGGCGUGCCUAAUACAUGCAAGUCGAGCGAACAGACGAGGAGCUUGCUCCUCUGACGUUAGCGGCGGACGGGUGAGUAACACGUGGAUAACCUACCUGUAAGACUGGGAUAACUUCGGGAAACCGGAGCUAAUACCGGAUAAUAUAUUGAACCGCAUGGUUCAAUAGUGAAAGACGGUUUUGCUGUCACUUAUAGAUGGAUCCGCGCCGCAUUAGCUAGUUGGUAAGGUAACGGCUUACCAAGGCAACGAUGCGUAGCCGACCUGAGAGGGUGAUCGGCCACACUGGAACUGAGACACGGUCCAGACUCCUACGGGAGGCAGCAGUAGGGAAUCUUCCGCAAUGGGCGAAAGCCUGACGGAGCAACGCCGCGUGAGUGAUGAAGGUCUUCGGAUCGUAAAACUCUGUUAUUAGGGAAGAACAAAUGUGUAAGUAACUAUGCACGUCUUGACGGUACCUAAUCAGAAAGCCACGGCUAACUACGUG